AUGACCACGCCCUCGCAAUCCCCGUCCCAGCCGCUGCCAAUAAUCCUACUCCUCUUCCUCCUCCUUCCAGCAGCGACUCAUUUGAUCCUGGAGGCUGCUGCUGCUGAGCAAGAUGAGCAGGAGCCAAUCACACUUCCAGGUUGCCCCAAUAGGUGUGGCAACAUAAGCAUUCCCUACCCAUUCGGCAUGAAGCCCGGCUGCUUCCGCGAGGGCUUCCAGGUCACCUGCAAUGACUCCUUCAAUCCCCAUCGCGCCUACCUUGCCAACAGCGGAGUAAACCAGCAUAUAAACGAGGUGUACUUCAGGGUGGAGACAGAGUGGAGUAAAGUUUGGAAUAGAUCAGUGGAUAAAACGGCCUUCGAGCUCAUCGAUAUAUCCGUUGCAAAGGGUGAGGCGCGCGCAUACACCGCGGUUUCAUCUAUUUGCAGCCAAAAUCAAACCGAUUACCUAUCCAAGAAUCAACAUAUGGAGUUGGGCAAGAAGAUGAGUCCAUUCCUCCUGUCGGUGGUGCGCAAUAUUCUCAUCGGCGUAGGCUGGAAUGUUCAGACUAUUGUCUAUACCUACCCGUGGUCGCCGCCGGUGGAUGGCAACUCACGGGAGAAAUUCAUUCUCUCCUGCCUUUCAGACCUCGGGGCCCGGCAGUUCCUCAAGUAUGCAACCAACGGGUCGUGCAAGGGGCGGGGCUGCUGUGAAGCUGCCCUGCCGGAAGCAUUUCCCAUCACUGAGCUUGCACUGACGUUCAGUUUGGGCCCAACAAACACCUUGUUUGAGACCAAUCCGUGCUCCUACGCUAUGGUGGUGGAGAGGUCAUGGUACAACUUCUCCACACCGGACAUGUACGGGAACGAGGUGCUGCCCAAGAGAUUCCCAAGCGGUGUCCCCUUUGUUAUCGAUUUUUCCAUCCCCCGGAUGGUUCAUGUCCCACGAAAGGCCAGCAGCCACCACGGGACUAUGCCUGUGUGAGCGGCAACAGCUCAUGUGUCAAUGCGAUUAGUAGCCAUGGCUAUGUCUGCAAGUGUUGGGACCAUUACGAUGGCAACCCUUAUAUCGCCAAUGGAUGCCAAGACAUCGAUGAGUGCAAGCUCCGUGAUUUGUAUCCUUGCUCCACUGACGGGAUCUGCAAAAAUACCUUGGGAGGCUAUGACUGUCCAUGUAAGCCAGGAAUGAAAGGUGACGGCGUAAAAGGAACCUGCACAGAUAAAUUCCCCGCAGCAGCACGUGUGAUUUUGGGUGGAAUAGGUGGUGUUUUUGUCAUUGCCGCAAUAUCAUUGCUUAUUCUUCUUCACAAAGAGAAAAAGAAAACUAGAGAAUUUUAUGAGAAGAAUGGUGGGCGUACAUUAGAGAAGGCAAAUUUCAUAAAACUGUUUGAGAAGGAGAAGCUCAAGCCAAUUCUGAAGAGGAGCAACUUUCUUGGAAAAGGUGGCUUCGGCGAAGUUUACAAGGGCAUUCUUAAUAAUGAACCAGUCACAGUGAAGAAGCCGAUUAGUGGUAGUGUGCUAGAGAAUGAACAGUUUGCAAAUGAAGUCAUCAUUCAAUCUCAAGUCAUCCACAAGAACAUUGUUAGGCUCAUAGGUUGUUGCCUAGAAGUUGAUGCCCCGAUUCUAGUCUAUGAGUUUCUCUGCAAUGGUAGCCUCGAUGACAUUCUUCAUGGCAACAACAAGGUGCCCCUUAACUUAGGUCUGCGUUUAAGUAUUGCUGCAGAAUCAGCAGAUGGUCUGGUUUAUAUGCACUCGAAAACCAAUACCAAGAUUCUACAUGGCGAUGUUAAACCAGCAAAUAUACUUUUGGAUGAUAAGUAUGUGCCAAAGAUCUCAGACUUCGGCAUAUCAAGGUUGAUUGCAAGAGACAAACAACACACGGGAUCUAUCAUUGGUGACAUGAGUUAUAUGGAUCCGGUAUAUCUACAAACAGGGCUACUAACAGAAAAAAGUGAUGUCUACAGUUUUGGAGUUGUCAUCUUGGAGCUUAUUAGUAGGAAGAAAGCUACACAUUCCGACGGUGGUAGUUUAGUAAACAAUUUCCUUGAAGCUUACAAGAAAGAGAAGAAAGCAACUCCAUUAUUUGACGAGGAAAUUGCGGUAACAGAAGAUUUGGAGAUUCUUGAUAGUUUGGCAUGUAUUGCUGUGGAAUGUCUUAACCUUGAUGUGGAUCAAAGACCAUGGAUGAUAGACGUAGCCGAGCGUCUCCUCAUAAUGGAUCGAUCCCGCAAGUCGUAA
This 2216-nucleotide ribosomal RNA is filed under the name Triticum aestivum (bread wheat). RNAcentral's name for it is "partial small subunit ribosomal RNA". Lineage: Eukaryota; Viridiplantae; Streptophyta; Magnoliopsida; Poales; Poaceae. The record is from RNAcentral.